Long non-coding RNA from Ochotona princeps (American pika), 1708 nucleotides. RefSeq lists it as uncharacterized. The record is from RefSeq and is a predicted model, not a curated record. The transcript is spliced from 2 exons. Lineage: Eukaryota; Metazoa; Chordata; Mammalia; Lagomorpha; Ochotonidae.
GAGGAGAGCUUUCAUUUUGAGGCGCGUGUGUCUGCUACUCAGUGAUGAUCGGGGUAGUUCCUCAUUACCAAUGUCAGCGUUGGGCUGCACGGUGUUCCGCUUGAGCAUGUCAUGGCAGUCCAUGCACCAGGCGGUUUCUCACUUGGUUCAUCAUGAAGAGGCCGUCAUUUGUGUCAAAAACACCGUCAGGGCUAAGGUUUACAAAUGGUCCCACCACAAAGCCAGGCCAGGGCAUGCUGGGCCCUUGUCACCCCAGAGGCUGCCCUGACCAGUAGUGUCAUGACCCCUGGACACAGGUGCUCCACGUGAGCAGAGAGGUUGGCCGAAGUUUGGGUGAUGUCCCACACUCCAGAUGGGCCUCAGGGUCGCACAUGGCCACCACCAGAAUGGUGGGCUGUUCACAGCUGUCGUCAGAUGUUGAAGCAGUUCUGUCAAGGCGAGGAUACUGGUGUUUCCUCUCUGCACAUCCGGUUGCUUGCGCACAAAUAUGUAAGUAGCGUGGCUGUUGGUGUGGCCUGAGAAUAGCCGUGCUGGCUAGCCGGUCUUGCUGAGCUCCCACAUGGAACAGACCAACAGCCAUGAGCCUCCCAGAGAAGGACUCACCACUCAGCAUGGGCACUGACAACGUACCGUCCACCUGUCCCAGGCCACCAGCUCCUGCUCCCCCCCAGGAAAUGUCGCUGUCAUCACAGGGGCUUCCUGUCUGCUCCAUCACACCCAGCACACAGUAGGAGACAUAGUUCUUGGCUGGCACUUGGUCAUCUCCAUGUGUGCAGUCUCUACAUCUCCUUGCUAGCGACCUGUGUAUCUGAGAGCGUGUGAGCUACAACUGUCAGAUGGUUUCUUCAGGGAGCCGAGCAGGACCGCAGUCUCCCUAGCCAUGGAGCUCUGGGGGAAGUGCAGUCAGGGGUGCAUUUAUGCUUCCAGCCGGAGAAACUUGAACAUGUGAUCAGCGGACGUGAGCGUCUGUGGCCACAAGGACUGUAGUGAUUCAGCUCUGAGCAGCCUCCUGGGAACCUUGGGAAGGUAAAGAGUGAGGCACGGACCACGUGCGCCUCAUCAGGAUGACGCUGAACUCUUCAAGGACCAGGGAUGCGUAGGCUGCCACUUGGGCCACCCACACUCCCUGUCCCAGGGCCAGGACUCAGUCCCAGCUCCACUCUGAGUCCGAGCUUUUUGCUGAUGCAGACCCUGGAAGGCAGUACUUGAUGGUGCAACCCUGGCCAACCCAGCCAAUGAACCAGUAGAUGGAAGCUCUCAUCCUGUCUCUCUGCCUCCCAAAUCAAUAGAAAAAUGUGGUUUGAAAAUAUGCAAAAAUACAAUUGAGAUUAAACAGAAAGGCAUAUGGGGAGGUCAUAUUAAUUAUGCAAGUAUCUGGGGCCUGGUGCAAUGGCUUAGUGGCUAAAUCUUUGCUCUGCAUGAGCUGGAUCCCGUAUGGGCGCCAGUUCUAAUCCCAGCAGCUCCACUUCCCAUCCAGCUCCCUGCUUGUGGCCUGUGAAAGCAUCAGAGGACGGCCCAAGGCCUUGGGACUCUGCAAUCAUAUGGGUAGCCAAGAAGAGGUUUCUAGCACCUGGCUUCAAAUCAGCUUAGCUCUGGACAUUGUGGCCACUUGGGAAGUGAACCAGCAGACAGAUCUUUCUCUGUGUCUAGCCUUCUCUGUGUAAAUCUGCCUUUCUAAUAAAAGGAAAAGAAAUCUUUAAAAAAAAAA